UACGAAGGGGGCUAGCGUUGUUCGGAAUUACUGGGCGUAAAGCGCGUGUAGGCGGGUCUUUAAGUCAGGGGUGAAAUGCCAAGGCUCAACCUUGGAACUGCCUUUGAUACUGGAGAUCUUGAGUCCGGGAGAGGUGAGUGGAACUGCGAGUGUAGAGGUGAAAUUCGUAGAUAUUCGCAAGAACACCAGUGGCGAAGGCGGCUCACUGGCCCGGAACUGACGCUGAGACGCGAAAGCGUGGGAAGCAAACAGG
This 253-nucleotide ribosomal RNA is filed under the name uncultured bacterium. Its description in RNAcentral is "partial 16S ribosomal RNA". It matches the Rfam family "Bacterial small subunit ribosomal RNA", at positions 524 to 776 of the family's 1533-position model. The record is from RNAcentral.